AACGAACGCUGGCGGCAGGCUUAACACAUGCAAGUCGAACGCUGAAGCUGACUUCGGUUAGUGGAUGAGUGGCAGACGGGUGAGUAACGCGUGGGAACCUACCCAGAGGUACGGAACAACACAGAGAAAUUUGUGCUAAUACCGAAUACACCCUUCGGGGGAAAGAUUUAUCGCCUUUGGAUGGGCCCGCGUUUGAUUAGCUAGUUGGUGAGGUAAUGGCUCACCAAGGCGACGAUCAAUAGCUGGUCUGAGAGGAUGAUCAGCCACACUGGGACUGAGACACGGCCCAGACUCCUACGGGAGGCAGCAGUGGGGAAUAUUGGACAAUGGGCGCAAGCCUGAUCCAGCCAUGCCGCGUGAGUGAUGAAGGCCCUAGGGUUGUAAAGCUCUUUCAACGGUGAAGAUAAUGACGGUAACCGUAGAAGAAGCCCGGCUAACUUCGUGCCAGCAGCCGCGGUAAU
This 461-nucleotide ribosomal RNA is filed under the name uncultured bacterium. RNAcentral's name for it is "bacterial SSU rRNA". It matches the Rfam family "Bacterial small subunit ribosomal RNA", at positions 29 to 524 of the family's 1533-position model. The record is from RNAcentral.